RNAcentral lists this long non-coding RNA (439 nucleotides) under Vulpes vulpes (red fox). RNAcentral describes it as "lncRNA (ENSVVUG00000027741.1)". The record is from RNAcentral. Lineage: Eukaryota; Metazoa; Chordata; Mammalia; Carnivora; Canidae.
CGUUCCUUCUGAAUAAGCUCUUGUGAGUCACAAGAUCCUCUGAUGAGCAAAUAAUAAGAGGGGAGAAAAGGGGCAGCAGAAUGAGGAACAGAGAGAAGGAUCUUGAUUGCUCUCUAAAUGCAUAUUAAAUGCUAUGUGCUCAAAUUCAAUCUCAAUUAACCAGAAUUCAAUUAUCUAGAAAUAUUAUUCAAAUAAACUAAAAUGACUUUUUUAUUCACUCUAGCCCCUGGACAAAGAGAAGAUUCAUUAUGGGAAAAUGACCAAUUCCAGGUCCACACAGGAGUCAGUAGAGCCUGCAUGGGAGUUUCUACAUCAAGCUUGCCUAAUCUACCUGGCUGUCUUUAAAUGAGACUUUUCCACAGUAGGAGUAAAACACCUCUCCAGUGCUCCUCUCUGCUAUCAGAAUAAAGUGAGUGGCAUAUAUUUGGGUAGUUUAGGA